This 1508-nucleotide ribosomal RNA is filed under the name metagenome. RNAcentral's name for it is "bacterial SSU rRNA". It matches the Rfam family "Bacterial small subunit ribosomal RNA". The record is from RNAcentral.
AGAGUUUGAUCAUGGCUCAGAACAAACGCUGGCGGCGUACAUAACACAUGCAAGUCGAACGAGAAAUUCCGAUUCGUCGGGAGAGUAAAGUGGCGAACGGGUGAGUAAUACAAGGGUAAUCUGCCCUUAAAUUAGGGAUAACCUUGCGAAAGCGAAGCUAAUACCUGAUAAGACUACGACCUCUUAGGUGGUUGUAGGAAAAGAUGGCCUCUGUUUCAAGCUAUCGUUUAAGGAUGAGCCCUUGCACUAUUAGCUUGUUGGUGGGGUAACGGCCUACCAAGGCUACGAUGGUUAGCUGGUCUGGGAGGAUGACCAGCCACACUGGAACUGAGACACGGUCCAGACUCCUACGGGAGGCAGCAGUGAGGAAUAUUGCGCAAUGGGGGAAACCCUGACGCAGUGACGCCGCGUGAGUGAUGAAGGCUUUCGAGUCGUAAAGCUCUGUUAGGUGGAAAGAAACAUUCCAACGCUAAUACCGUUGGAACUUGACGGUACCACCAGAGGAAGCACCGGCUAACUCUGUGCCAGCAGCCGCGGUAAUACGGAGGGUGCAAGCGUUACUCGGAAUCACUGGGCGUAAAGCGCGCGCAGGCGGCCAUUUAAGUUGGAUGUGAAAGCCUACGGCUCAACCGUAGAACUGCAUCCAAAACUAUUUGGCUAGAGUGUGGGAGAGGAAGAUGGAAUUAGUUGUGUAGGGGUAAAAUCCGUAGAGAUAACUGGGAAUACCAAAAGCGAAGGCAAUCUUCUGGAACACUACUGAUGCUGAGGCGCGAAAGCGUGGGGAGCAAACAGGAUUAGAUACCCUGGUAGUCCACGCAGUAAACGAUGAAUGUUAGUCGUCGGGUAGCUAGUCUAUUCGGUGAUGCAGCUAACGCAUUAAACAUUCCGCCUGGGGAGUACGGUCGCAAGAUUAAAACUCAAAGGAAUAGACGGGGACCCGCACAAGUGGUGGAGCAUGUGGUUUAAUUCGAAGAUACGCGAAGAACCUUACCUGGCCUUGACAUAUUUUAGAAUUCUUUAGAGAUAGAGAAGUGCCUUCGGGAGCUAAUAUACAGGUGCUGCACGGCUGUCGUCAGCUCGUGUCGUGAGAUGUUGGGUUAAGUCCCGCAACGAGCGCAACCCUCGUCACUAGUUACUAACGGUUCGGCCGAGGACUCUAGUGAGACUGCCUUCGCAAGGAGGAGGAAGGUGAGGACGACGUCAAGUCAUCAUGGCCCUUACGGCCAGGGCAACACACGUGCUACAAUGGUUAGGACAAUGAGACGCAAUACCGCGAGGUGGAGCAAAUCUAUAAACCUAAUCUCAGUUCGGAUUGUUCUCUGCAACUCGAGAACAUGAAGCUGGAAUCACUAGUAAUCGUAGAUCAGCUAUGCUACGGUGAAUACGUUCCCGGGUCUUGUACUCACCGCCCGUCACACCAUGGGAGUUGAUUUCACCCGAAGCGGGGAAGCUAAACUGGCUACCCUCCACGGUGGAAUUAGCGACUGGGGUGAAGUCGUAACAAGGUA